AAUGGAGAGAUGUCUUUAUACUGGUACAUGUACACCACCUGAUCUGGUCAUUAGAACAUGAGGAGAAGUGAGGUUAAGUGACUUCCUUAUAUGGCAGAGCUCUUAUUCUUGUCUCUGUUUUCAAGAUGUGUUGUGGCCGGAGUUUUCAAUUUGGAAUUUAUUCUCUUCGAUAUUAACAUACCAACAGAAUUACAAUAAUAUAAAGGUAGCAAGAGAGUACAUGUACAUUGAGAGGAAGGACAAGCAGUAUAAAUCAGACAGAGACUGUGCAUC
This is a long non-coding RNA of Amphimedon queenslandica, 273 nucleotides long. RefSeq lists it as uncharacterized. The record is from RefSeq and is a predicted model, not a curated record. Lineage: Eukaryota; Metazoa; Porifera; Demospongiae; Haplosclerida; Niphatidae. The transcript is spliced from 3 exons.